AUGGCUUCCGCGGGCGGGCGCGUCCACUUAUUCGACGUGAUUAGCGGGGCCACGCCUUCCUCUCACCGACAGGUGGGUCCCGUAAGGUGGGGCCCGCCUGGCCUGGCUUCUUCCUCCUGCGCGUACGCGCGCCUGGCCGAGGGAGACGCCCGCCUCCACUGCGAUUGCCGGCGGCUCCGGCCGCCUCAGACGACGGCCGACCUAUCCACGAGCUCAGGAGCAAGAGGCGCAUCCCGUGGUGGUGUCCGUUGCCGGCGAGGAGCACGGGAGAAGGAGCAGCAGGGCUCGCGGCAGAGGUGGUCUUCGGACUCCAGCGAACAGGGGGCUCCGGUGGGGGAACUAGGUGGGCAAGGCUACGGGGAGGUGCGCCGGACCUCGGGGAACGCAUAG
This 390-nucleotide ribosomal RNA is filed under the name Triticum aestivum (bread wheat). RNAcentral's name for it is "partial small subunit ribosomal RNA". Lineage: Eukaryota; Viridiplantae; Streptophyta; Magnoliopsida; Poales; Poaceae. The record is from RNAcentral.